RNAcentral lists this small nucleolar RNA (78 nucleotides) under Drosophila grimshawi. RNAcentral describes it as "snoRNA:GH25743". Lineage: Eukaryota; Metazoa; Arthropoda; Insecta; Diptera; Drosophilidae. The record is from RNAcentral.
AAACGAUUAAUGGAUGCUGGCGUGUGUCACACAAUUAAAAUAACACAAUCGCAUCACUCCAUAAGCAAUCGUACAUUU